This 182-nucleotide ribosomal RNA is filed under the name uncultured bacterium. Its description in RNAcentral is "partial 16S ribosomal RNA". It matches the Rfam family "Bacterial small subunit ribosomal RNA", at positions 1317 to 1500 of the family's 1533-position model. The record is from RNAcentral.
UGCAUGAAGUCGGAAUUGCUGUAAUCGCGGAUCAGCAUGCCGCGGUGAAUACGUUCCCGGGCCUUGUACACACCGCCCGUCACACCAUGGGAGCCGGUAAUACCCGAAGUCAGUAGUCCAACCUCGUGAGGACGCUGCCGAAGGUAGGAUUGGCGACUGGGGUGAAGUCGUAACAAGGUAUC